CAAGGGGGAGAUUGAGUAUCCAGUGGAAUAUUCCAGUAUCUGGUUCCAGUACUUGAUCUUAGCAACCAACUAUAUAUAUAUCCCAAGGCGCUUAAAGUCUGAGCCCACUCUAAAUGGCUCAGUACCAUGUGAGUGGGACCAAUUAGUUUUAAUCUGUUUUAAAGUGUUGUAUACAGAUUUCACUAUGAUCUGUUUUUUUUUUUGUUUUUUUUUUAGGUUUUAUCCUAUUUGAUGGUAAUUUGCAUGUGUAGGUUAUUUCAUACAUUUUUAGUGUGCUCUCACCAACUUUUUAUUCACUUUAUAGUAUUUUAUUUUGUGUGGUUUGGGUGACCUACACUAGGUGAUUUGAG
Non-coding RNA from Pelobates cultripes (western spadefoot toad), 350 nucleotides. NCBI's taxonomy places the organism in Eukaryota, Metazoa, Chordata, Amphibia, Anura, Pelobatidae. The record is from the annotation of a GenBank genome assembly.